AUACCUAAGCGUUACUGCGUUUAAAUGUUCCUAGCUGGGAGCAGGUCCGGCGGAGGGGUCAUCAAAAGAGAUUCCGAAAGCGGACCGAAGGGGGGCUGCGCUUUAAUCUAAGUGCCUGAAAUGCUGCGAGUUCCUUUUGGAAGCAGAGGGUGCGCGCACAACUCCCCGCCCACCGUCAGAUUCGUCUGGUGGUGGGAGCAUGGAGAAGUUCGACGGCAGGAGUAUUGUUUGACGAGAGGUGGAAUUCACUGACUCAAACAGGACUACCAGUGGCGA
Molecule: ribosomal RNA, 276 nt
Filed under: Mikrocytos donaxi
Lineage: Eukaryota; Endomyxa; Ascetosporea; Mikrocytida; Mikrocytiidae
Description: partial 18S ribosomal RNA
Source: RNAcentral